This is a ribosomal RNA of Nicotiana attenuata, 142 nucleotides long. It matches the Rfam family "Bacterial large subunit ribosomal RNA", at positions 712 to 852 of the family's 2925-position model. The record is from Rfam. NCBI's taxonomy places the organism in Eukaryota, Viridiplantae, Streptophyta, Magnoliopsida, Solanales, Solanaceae.
GACCCGAAACUGAUCGAUCUAGCCAUGAGCAGGUUGAAGAGAGCUCUAACACGCCUUAGAGGAUCGAACCCACGUAUGUGGCAAAAUACGGGGAUGACUUGUGGCUAGGGGUGAAAAGCCAACCAAGAUCGGAUAUAGCUGG